AGCGGAAGUGAGCAUGCUGGAACCCUGCAGAUCUAAAAUCUGGUUGACGCGUCUGCAGCCACUGCUGAGCUUUGGGUAGGCCAGGGUCGGGGAUCGGCCGGCUGAUCUCUGCUGUCGCGCUUCCCUACCCCGGCCUCUUUCCAGGACCAAGUCCGCAAUCCCUGCCGUGGCCACGCCCCUCUGCGCCCUCCGUCCUGGCUUCUCUGCAUCCUGGCUGCUCUGCGUCCUGUCUGUUCCCCCCGGGUGGAGGGGAGAGGCAGCCAUCCUCCUGCAGGUGAAGCGGAGUGGAGACUCUUCCUAAGCCCAGCUGCAGGACACUGAACACCAACGAGAUUCAUAAAAUCCAAUUAUGGGUGUAAGAGGUUUGCAGGGAUUUGUGGGAAGUACCUGCCCACAUAUAUGUACAGUAGUAAAUAUUCAUGAGCUGGCAGAGCGUCACCGACACAAGUACCCUGGACAUACACCUACCAUUGUGGUGGAUGCCAUGUGCUGUCUCCGAUACUGGUACACACCAGAGUCUUGGAUCUGCGGCGGCCAGUGGAGAGAAUACUAUUCUGCUCUGAGAGAUUUUGUUACAGCCUUCACAUCUGCCGGCAUCAAGUUAAUAUUCUUCUUUGAUGGCAUGGUGGAGCCGGGUAAGCGCGAUGAGUGGGUAAAACGUAGACUUAAAAACAACAGGGAAAUAUCCAAGAUUUUCCACUAUAUCAAGUCAAAAAGAGUCCAGCCAGGCAGAAACAUGUUCUUCAUUCCCUCGGGUCUGGCUAUAUUUACACGAUUCGCACUGAAGACACUGGGCCAGGAGACCUUCUGUUCAUUACAAGAGGCAGACUACGAGGUGGCUUCUUACGGCCUCCAGCACAACUGUCUUGGGAUCCUUGGGGAAGACACUGACUACUUAAUUUACGACACUUGCCCUUACUUUUCAAUUGGUGAUCUCUGCCUAGAGAGUCUCCGAACCGUCAUGCUCUGUCGAGAGAAGCUCUGUGAGAGCCUGGGCCUCCAUGUGGCAGACCUUCCUCUGCUGGCCUGUCUGCUUGGCAACGACAUCACUCCAGAGGGCAUGUUUGAAAGCUUUCGGUACAAAUGCUUGUCGUCCUAUACUUCUGUGAAAGAGAACGCAGGCAGAAAGGGAAAUAUUAUCUUAGCUGUCUCAGACUAUAUCUCCAAAGUUCUUCAUCUGUAUCAAGGUGAGAAGAGGAUAGAAGAGAUGCUACCCUUGGGGCCAAACAAAGCUCUUUUUUAUAAAGGAGUAACAUCGUAUCUUUUGCCAGGGCAGAAAUCUCCAUGGUUAGUUCAAAAACCCAAAGGCAUAAUAACAGAGAAGCAAAUGGUGAGUUUAGACCCCGAAUCCAAGCAAGAAGUCCCUAUGUGUAUAGAUCCUGAAUUCAAGCAAGAAGUUCUUGUGUGCACUAAUCCCGAGACCAUGCAAGAAGUCCCCAUGUGUAUGGAUUCUGAACCCAACCCAGAAGCUUCCAUGUGCACAGAUCCUGAAUCCAAACAAGAAGUGCCCAUGUGCACAGAUCCCGAAUCCAAGCCAGAAGUUUCCCUAUAUACACACCCAGAGAGCAAGCAAAAAUCACCUACAGAAAUAGACACUGAAUUUAAUCUAGAAGCACUCAUGUGUGCAUACCCUGAAGUUAAACAAGAAGACGCCAUGGAUAUGGAACCUGAAGUAAAGCAAGCAACCAUGGUUUCAGAGUCUGAGAUCUUAAAGAUUGCCAGGAUGCAUCAUGUCCACUCAGAAAGCUACCUAGUGUACAACAUUAUGAGCAGUGGAGAGAUAGAGUGUAGUAACACUCUGGAGGACGAGCUGGACCAAGCCCUACCAAGCCAAGCCUUCAUCUACCGCCCAGUCCGGCAGCGUGUCUACUCACUCUUAUUCGGGGACUGGAAAGAUGGAGCCAGCACCACCGGCCCAGUGGUCAAGGAGUGGUUUGUGUACCCUGGUAACUCCCUGAAGCACCCAGACCUAGUUAGGCCUCUGCAGAUGACCGUUGAAGGGGGAACACCUAGCUUGGAAGUUUUGUGGCUCAGCCAAGAGCCAGCAGCACAGGCCCGGCGCCUGGACACAUUGCUAGCCUGCUUCAACCUUUCCUCUUCAAGAGAAGAGCUGCAAGCAGUUGAGGGCCCGUUGAGAGCGCUGUGCUGCCUCCUGAUAUACCUCUUUGUCCAGGUGGACACUCUUUCCCUGGAAGAUCUGCAUGCAUUUAUCGCUCAGGCCUUGUGCCUCCAAGGAAAAUCAACCUCCCAGCUUAUGCACUUACAGCUGGAUCACAUUAGCUCCAGAGCUGUGCAGCUGGGGUCCCUCCUUGUCCGAGGCCUUACCACAUUGAUACUAGUCAACAGUGCAUGUGGCUUCCCCUGGACAACAAGCGAGUUUAUGCCCUGGAAUGUAUUUGACGGCAAGCUUUUCCAUCAGAAGUACCUGCAGUCUGAAAAGGGAUACGCCGUGGAGGUUCUUUUGGAACAAAACAGAUCGUGGCUCACCAAGUUCCACAACCUGAAGGCAGUGGUCUGCAAGGCCUGCUCCAAGGAGAACCGGCGCAUUGUAGGCAGAACACAUUGGAACUCUCACUACACUGGAAGGCAAGGGAGACAGGGCCACAGCUCCUACAGGACAGGCUCCACACAUGGCCAUUCUGGGCAGUCAUGGAGAGACCAGGGUUCAGUACAGCUCAGCAACCCAUCUCUAUGCAUGCUUAGAACCGUGCUGCUUCUUUGAGUUGGUGUUUGGAGACAUUUCUUCUUACUCUGGUGUUCGUCUCUGUUUGGUACAGGAGGCAGACAGCAUGAGCAGCAUGAACACUGGAGAAGAUACUAGGUGUUGUACAGAAGAGUGUGGAAAAAGGAUCAGUGCCCAUGCCCGGACUCCGCCCUCCCUCCAAGGAGUGUUCACACCCAGUCUUCAUCAGCAAGGACAGCAACUGGGACUACACUUUAAAGGAAGGAAAGAUUUCUUUUCAGAGGUCUCUCCUAUACAUACUGUAGAAGGAUCCCAUUGGUUUGUUUCAGAGGUUGCUCCUGACUCCAUGACCCAGAAACACUUGACACUGACAUCAAGAAUGCUCUCCUGACCUUAGCAGGAGUCUAAUUCCAAACAUUUUCUUACUAUUAAAUUGUGAGAAUGUUGCUCAAAUCAUUAGUCUUUGAAAUCAUGAUGUCUUCUUAUUUUUCUUUCAUUGUGGAAAGGCACCAUGACCAAAGCGACUUACAAAAGAAAGCAUUUAAUGUGGGUCUUAGGGUUCCAGAGGGUGGUAGAGCCCGUGACCGUCAUGUUGGGGUGCGUGACAACACAAGGCAAGGACUAGCCAACAGAGAAUGGCUCAGGGUUUUGAAAAUUUAAAGCCCACCCCCCCCAGUGACACACCUCCAUCAGCAAAGCCACGCCUUUCCUAGUAAGGCCAUUCGUCCUAAUCCUUUCUAUCACCUGGAGACCAAGCUUUCAAACAUGCUAGCUUAUGGGAUCAUUCUCAUUUAGACCACCACACAUGAUAUCUAAUAGGUAUAAUAGUCUGUCAAAAAAUACAUUUUCAUUAGAAAAUCUAACAGAAGUGUUCAUCUGUUUCCUUCCUUGAUCCACAAAGCAUUUGGAUAGGAAAAAAAAACUAACUAAAUUCUUGCUUUCUUGUGGGAGAGUUGGUUCUGCACGGAGGCAAGAUGGCUCAGUGGUUAAGAACAGCAGCUGCUCUUCCAGAGACUCAAGGUAUGAUUCCCAUCACCACAUAGUGGCUCACAGCUGUCUGUAACUCUAGUUCCGGAGGAUCUCCUGUGAGCACCAAACACAAGACAUGCACACAGGCAAAACACCCAUAAAGAUGAAAUAUUUAAUAAGUUAAAGAAAAAAAGAUUUUUAAAGAAGCAUAAUGGGUUAAGCUUAAAGUAAGCUCCUCUUUAAACUUUGACAUUCUUAUCUAUCUCCACUGGGGAUUCAAGAGUAGCUAUGCCUGUCCAGGGCCCUUACUGCCCUCCUAGACCUCUGGGGACACUUAGGUCCCUCAGGAGAUGUAAGUACUCUGGUCAUUGGAAGAUGUAUCCUUUCAGUGCUCCCGUCUUUAAGAGUUUAGUAAGCUUCUAAAAAUGUUCCUUUUCAUCUUUAUGCUGACAGUUUUCCAGACCACUGGCUCAACCAUGCUGUGCGGAGCUCUUGGGUUUCGCCUUGAGAUUCUUGUGUUUACCAGAAAGGUAUAGAUAUAUCUCCUGCAUUUGAACAUGGUUGUAUUUGUUCAGCUUCUUUCUGCUCCUGACAAACUUGAGCAUAGUGUGUCCACAGAUCACGUAGCUGCCAUGACUUUGCUGCCUAGAUUUGGAACUGGCUUUUCUGGCCCUUCCCUCAAAUACUGUCUUCUCCCUCUCUGCUGCUUUCAAGCAGUGCUGGCUUUAGACGUUGUGUUUCUUUGCUAUUUACUUGUGUAACUUUGAAUUAAGAUUCUGAGCUCUUAAAUUGAAAGUAUAUUUCUGUGAAGUUGUUUUCCGUCACAGAAGCUGCAUCCUGACUUGUCAAUAAAAUGCUUACAUCAGUCUAAAUAAGCCACUGUGUUGAAGGAAUAUUGAUCGCAUUUAGAGCGUUUCCAGUGACAGAAUUGCUUACAUUGUUUCCAGUCAAGUCUUGUGAUAGAAUUUCCACAUAUCAAUUUAAAAUAAAAAUGCAUUUUUAAACUCUUA
Non-coding RNA from Arvicanthis niloticus (Nile rat), 4662 nucleotides. NCBI's taxonomy places the organism in Eukaryota, Metazoa, Chordata, Mammalia, Rodentia, Muridae. The record is from RefSeq and is a predicted model, not a curated record.